CUUAUAAAAAUGAUGUAGCUUCAGACAAGGAGGAUAAUGAUGACCAACAUAGUGUAAGUCCCGAAAUGUUUUAUCAAUCACCAGUAUUUAAAAAACUUCCUUCAUCAACUCAAUGUAACAUUCUCAGUGGUGGAGGAACUGAACAUGAAUCACAAAUUAUUCAAAACCACCAUAAGACAGAAGAGACUUCAACAAAACACA
This is a long non-coding RNA of Myzus persicae (green peach aphid), 201 nucleotides long. RefSeq lists it as uncharacterized. The transcript has 3 exons. The record is from RefSeq and is a predicted model, not a curated record. Lineage: Eukaryota; Metazoa; Arthropoda; Insecta; Hemiptera; Aphididae.